This is a small nuclear RNA of Xenopus tropicalis (tropical clawed frog), 97 nucleotides long. Its record names the gene U2. It matches the Rfam family "U2 spliceosomal RNA". Rfam says of the family: U2 is a small nuclear RNA (snRNA) component of the spliceosome (involved in pre-mRNA splicing). Complementary binding between U2 snRNA (in an area lying towards the 5' end but 3' to hairpin I) and the branchpoint sequence (BPS) of the intron results the bulging out of an unpaired adenosine, on the BPS, which initiates a nucleophilic attack at the intronic 5' splice site, thus starting the first of two transesterification reactions that mediate splicing. NCBI's taxonomy places the organism in Eukaryota, Metazoa, Chordata, Amphibia, Anura, Pipidae. The record is from Ensembl.
AUCGCUUCUCGGCCUUUUGGCUAAGAUCAAGUGUAGUAUCUGUUCUUAUCAGUUUCAGAUCAGAUAAUUGCUACUUGUGACGAAGCGGGGAGCUUGA